Gorilla gorilla gorilla (western lowland gorilla) is the source of this 1125-nucleotide long non-coding RNA. RefSeq lists it as uncharacterized. The record is from RefSeq and is a predicted model, not a curated record. The transcript is spliced from 3 exons. NCBI's taxonomy places the organism in Eukaryota, Metazoa, Chordata, Mammalia, Primates, Hominidae.
AAAAAAUUGAGAGGGUAACUACGGACUUCAUUGGUCUAUUGUUAAUACAGAAUGAGACGAUACAGUGAAAGAACUCUCCAAAUGACAAAGCACUAUCUCCAUAUAAGAAUAUCGCUUCUGUUGCAUCAUAGUGAAGUAGUUCCACAGCUGUUUCUGCUCGGACUGACUGGUUCAAAUCUCGGCUAUACUGCCAGGAUUUAAGACACUUUGAAAAUGGGCAAAGCCUCAUUUUUCCUAGGUCGAAAGGAGUUCAAGAUUGGGUAAAUCUGAGGAUUCAGAAGGAUGAUAAAUGUUAGAACAUGGAAUCAGGGUGCUUAGAUUCUUGGUGCCUCAAUUUCUCUGUCAGUUAAAUGCCGUAUGAUCAAAUGACUCUUUUCUCAUUGGCUUGAUGUGAGAAAGAAAUGACUACAUAUAAUAAUCAGCAACAUUCCUGGCACAUAGUAAACAUCGAUGUAUUACUAUUAAUACCUCCACCUACUCUAUAUACUGACUCUCUAUCCUCCCUCUCUUCCUCCUUCCCUGGAUCUUAAAAGAUGAGUGUGAUUAGAAACAAAAUUUUGUUGUGAUAAAGUCCACCUGAAUGUUCCCUCAGAUACUAACUAAAUCUCUUUCACAUGCAACCUUUGGACAAAAGUCUCUUCCUUUUUGCUAGGAAUUUUCCCAUUUUUUUCUCAUUUCUUCUCCUCCUGCUUUAGGAAAGAAAAAAAAAAGCAUAUGCAAGAAUUAUUUUUUCUUCUCCCCAGAUGUCACCAGCACUAACACCUGUCCUAGUUCCAGCUCUGGUGAACUUCAGCAGACCUGCUCAAGUGGACAGCAUUAGGAACCUUGUCAGUUUUGCAGUGCUUUUUGCCUGAAGCCACCUCAGGUCCCUCAUGCUGCAGCAACACGAUUCACGGCUCUGUUGCAGAAUGUGAAGGAGCAAGUCUCUCAAUUGGCUAACUGAAUCAAGCUCUGCAAUUUCCUUCUUCCCUGGAGCCUGAUCCUGCAGGACAAGGAUCUAUUUUCAAGUCAAUUACAAUUCCUAAGGGAUAUAAUUACCUACAAAAUCAGCAAAGGAACCCUAUUUCUCUUAUGGUAAUGUAAUAGUAAUUUUUAAAAUAACUACAAUACAUAUGAUAGAAAUGG